AUAUUAUGUUGGCUGUCCAGAUGCCUAAAUAGCAUUUGAUAGCAAGGGCCGGGCAAGACCGGUGCCAGCCGCCGCGGUAACACCGGCGGCCCGAGUGGUAACCGUUAUUAUUGGGUCUAAAGGGUCCGUAGCCGGCCAAGUAAGUCUCUUGGGAAAUCUGGCAGCUUAACUGUCAGGCUGCCAAGAGAUACUGCCUGGCUUGGGACCGGGAGAGGUGAGAGGUACCUCAGGGGUAGGGGUGAAAUCUUGUAAUCCUUGAGGGACCACCAGUGGCGAAGGCGUCUCACCAGAACGGGUCCGACGGCAAGGGACGAAAGCUAGGGGCACGAACCGGAUUAGAUACCCGGGUAGUCCUAGCCGUAAACGAUACUCGCUAGGUGUCAGCCACGGUGCGACCGUGGUUGGUGCCGUAGGGAAGCCGUGAAGCGAGCCACCUGGGAAGUACGGCCGCAAGGCUGAAACUUAAAGGAAUUGGCGGGGGAGCACUACAACGGGUGGAGCCUGCGGUUUAAUUGGAUUCAACGCCGGAAAGCUCACCGGGGGCGACAGCAAUAUGAAGGUCAGGCUGAAGACCUUACCAGAUUCGCUGAGAGGUGGUGCAUGGCCGUCGUCAGUUCGUACUGUGAAGCAU
This 631-nucleotide ribosomal RNA is filed under the name uncultured Methanosaeta sp. RNAcentral's name for it is "bacterial SSU rRNA". It matches the Rfam family "Archaeal small subunit ribosomal RNA", at positions 395 to 1024 of the family's 1478-position model. Lineage: Archaea; Methanobacteriati; Methanobacteriota; Methanomicrobia; Methanotrichales; Methanotrichaceae. The record is from RNAcentral.